RNAcentral lists this long non-coding RNA (762 nucleotides) under Rattus norvegicus (Norway rat). Its description in RNAcentral is "long non-coding RNA NONRATT022922". Lineage: Eukaryota; Metazoa; Chordata; Mammalia; Rodentia; Muridae. The record is from RNAcentral.
UGCUAUGUAAGGUCACCCACCCCCAUUAUGAAGACGUUCCCUCAUUUGACUUUGUCCAGGUUUCUGCUUCCUUCCAGUGCACGACAGGUGGCAGAUGUUGGAUUAAUCUGUACAGUGGGCCUGUCUACUCAAGACCUGGCUGUGCAGCUGCAGAUACUGAAGAGUGUGUGCUCAUGGAUACUGGUCGGAAGAUCUCUGGCCUCCCACAGACCUUGCCAAAGGAUGCUCAGAGCUCCACGCACUUGGCUUCUUACUAUUUGGAAUUUCUGCCUGUGUCCUAUGUGUAAUUAGGAAAUAGCCUAUUGUGACUUGUUCUAGUCACCCCUCCCCUACACCACCAGACUCAGCCUGUUUUGAUUUUCUAAGUUUUUGGACUAGAAGCAAAAACAAAGAUUUUUCUUAAAGCAAUUUCCUGUAAAGCUGCUUUUCAGACUUGUCUUCACAGGUGGAAAGAUCAUGAACUCUGCCGCUUCCAUUAGCUCUUCCAAGACAUGGCUAGGGUGAGAGUCUUUGAAUGGCCCUGCUUGACCAUUUGUUAUGACCAUUCCAUAACAAUAUUUUUUAAUUAACUUUGUUAGUAUUUCAUAGAAUACUGUGUUCUUCAUGAAUUGUUACUGAUGUACAUGUAGAAAUAUUGGCACCACGUGUCAUUACUUAUCCUGGAUAAUUCCUCCUGAGUCUAUAUCAUUGUCUGGUCUGUUGUAAACAACACUGGAUUGACCUGAGCCAGCCAUCUUCUUACUCACUGCACCCAUGGUUAAA